Molecule: ribosomal RNA, 253 nt
Filed under: uncultured bacterium
Lineage: Bacteria
Description: partial 16S ribosomal RNA
Rfam family: Bacterial small subunit ribosomal RNA
Source: RNAcentral
UACGGAGGGUGCGAGCGUUGCUCGGAAUUAUUGGGCGUAAAGCGUACGCAGGCGGCUCGGCAAGUCGAGUGUGAAAUCCCGGGGCUCAACUCCGGAACUGCAUUCGAUACUGCCGGGCUUGAGUGCGGGAGAGGGAAGCGGAAUUCCUGGUGUAGAGGUGAAAUUCGUAGAUAUUAGGAAGAACACCAGUGGCGAAGGCGGCUCACUGGUCCGGUACUGACGCUGAGGUGCGAAAGCGUGGGGAGCAAACAGG